Molecule: long non-coding RNA, 413 nt
Organism: Aethalodelphis obliquidens (Pacific white-sided dolphin)
Lineage: Eukaryota; Metazoa; Chordata; Mammalia; Artiodactyla; Delphinidae
Exons: 5
Source: RefSeq, a predicted model, not a curated record
GCAGUGUGGGGUCCAGUUCUUGGGCACACUUCAAGGAAGUAUUUGACAUAUUAGUGAGGAUUCAGCAAGAGAAAAAGGCCAACAAGAGCUGGAGGACUUUGUGUUGAGAACAUAUUUUGGAGUAGGCCUCCAAGACCUCUAGAUAAGUCUCUGGACCCACUGUGUCAGCCUCAUCUCUGCAUGUUUUCUUCUCACCAGCAUCUGUUCCUGAAACUGGCCUGGAGCACACAUGUCCAAGCAGCCCUCUGAGGACUUUAUUUCAACACAGGAGAAAUAUACACCAGGUUAAAGAAUCAUAAUAAGGAAGAGAUGAUCACAAGGAACCAGCAUGGAAAACAAUUCACCUCAAACUACAUUUUCUUUACUCUUUAACAUGGUUCGAGCCCUGGCUCGGGAAGAUCCCACAUGCCGCG